This 477-nucleotide ribosomal RNA is filed under the name Rhamphosipyloidea berenice. RNAcentral's name for it is "partial large subunit ribosomal RNA". It matches the Rfam family "Bacterial large subunit ribosomal RNA", at positions 1920 to 2610 of the family's 2925-position model. Lineage: Eukaryota; Metazoa; Arthropoda; Insecta; Phasmatodea; Lonchodidae. The record is from RNAcentral.
UAUUUAAAUGGCCGCGGUAUUUUGACCGUGCAAAGGUAGCAUAAUCAUUAGUUUAUUAAAUGUAAACUUGUAUGAAUGGUUGGACGAAACGUAGACUGUCUCAUAUUUAUUAAUAUAAUUUAAAUUUUGAGUUAAAAUGCUUAAAUUUUUUUAUAGGACGAGAAGACCCUAUAGAUCUUUAUUUUUACUUAUUUUAAUUUGUUUUGUAUUUUUGUUAUUAAAUUAAUUUAUUUAUUUUGUUGGGGUGACAUUUAUAUAAAAUUAACUAUAUUUAAUUUUUUUUCAAUUAUUUUUGUAAAUUUGACCUUUUAUUAUUGUUAUAAGAUUUAGAUACCUUAGGGAUAACAGCGUAAUUCUUUUUGAGAGUUCAUAUCGACAAAGGAGAUUGCGACCUCGAUGUUGGAUUAAGAAUAUAUUUAGGUGUAGGUGCUUGAUUAUUAAGUCUGUUCGACUUUUAAAUUCUUACAUGAUCUGAGU